This is a transfer RNA of Insolitispirillum peregrinum, 74 nucleotides long. It matches the Rfam family "tRNA". From Rfam's summary of the family: Transfer RNA (tRNA) molecules are approximately 80 nucleotides in length. Their secondary structure includes four short double-helical elements and three loops (D, anti-codon, and T loops). The record is from Rfam. Lineage: Bacteria; Pseudomonadati; Pseudomonadota; Alphaproteobacteria; Rhodospirillales; Novispirillaceae.
GCACCCGUAGCUCAGCUGGAUAGAGUACUGCCCUCCGAAGGCAGGGGUCACAGGUUCGAAUCCUGUCGGGUGCA